AGCAACAGUGCAAGCUUGGCUCGCAUCGAGAAGGGGCUGGGCCAAAAGGUGAGCAGUGUUACUGUUGAGAGUAGAUGCUAAGGUAGAUGCUUAGCUAGGCAGUUAGGAUGAUGUGGCAUUAGGCAGUUGCCACAGCCCGUGUAUACAUAGCUUCAUAUAUACAAUAUGAGCAGUCGUUGCCAACAGUCGCUGCCUUUUUUAUCAUGGUAUCAGAGCACAGAUCUUGAGGACCUGUGAAGGAUGAAGAAGAAGAAGAAGCUUCCAAAUGCCAACGGCAGAAGCAGAGUAGCCUAGAGCGCAGCAACAAAGCAAUGGCAGAGCCAUACCAGCAGCGAGGAGUGGCAGAUAGUGACUCAGAAGCCCUGGAGCGGCAGAAGAUGUUGAUAUGCUCCAAGAGAGGAGCAGCAGAGCAGCCAAGAAGCCCAGGAGCAGCAGAGCAGUGACUCAGCAGGCCGAGAAGCAGAACGGCCAAGAUGCUUGAAGAGACGAGCAGCAGCAGCCAAGUGAGCGGCAGCAGAUAGCAGCGGCAGAGUUGGCUGAGAAGCCCAGCAGUGGCAAAAGAGCUCCAAGAGAGGAGCCAAAGGAGCGAUGGCAAAAGAGCUCCAAGAGAGGAGCCAAAGGAGCGAUGACAAAGCAGCCAAGAGUGGCAGAGGCAGCAAGCCCUAGAGCAACAAGAUGUAGUUGCUUUGAGUGGGAGUCAGUGUCAGUUGUAUGCAUGCUGAGCAUCUUAUGUUCAGGCUUUGUCUUAGUUUGUAGACACGCCUGAGUGGGAGUGUUGAGAGUAGAUGCUAAGGUAGAUGCUUAGCUAGGCAGUUAGGAUGAUGUGGCAUUAGGCAGUUGCCACAGCCCGUGUAUACAUAGCUUCAUAUAUACAAUAUGAGCAGUCGUUGCCAACAGUCGCUGCCUUUUUU
This 911-nucleotide long non-coding RNA is filed under the name Selaginella moellendorffii. RNAcentral's name for it is "long non-coding RNA (SMOE_LNC001318)". Lineage: Eukaryota; Viridiplantae; Streptophyta; Lycopodiopsida; Selaginellales; Selaginellaceae. The record is from RNAcentral.